Long non-coding RNA from Hypanus sabinus (Atlantic stingray), 1901 nucleotides. RefSeq lists it as uncharacterized. Lineage: Eukaryota; Metazoa; Chordata; Chondrichthyes; Myliobatiformes; Dasyatidae. The transcript is spliced from 4 exons. The record is from RefSeq and is a predicted model, not a curated record.
UUGUCCUAUGUGCUGGAAAGAUAGUAAAUCCUUCUUCAGUUUAUAAUAUUAUUUUCUCAUUAGCGAUAAGGUAGCUGCAAGUGGCCUACAGUAAUAAGACAUAGCAAAGAACGUUUUGCAUUUUGUUUGGGCUUCUCAGGAUUUCUGCCUCUACAAAACCACCUCACAGUUCAAUUGGUUCAAUAGGUACAUUUAAUGUCAGAGAAAUGUAUACAAUAUACAUCCUGAAAUUCUUUUUCUUCGCAAACAUCCACCAAAACAGAGGAGUGCCCCAAAGAAUGAAUGACAGUUAAACGUUAAAACCCCAAAGCCCCUCCACCCAUUUCCCCCUUCCACACACAACAGAAUUGCAUUGGGGACAAGAGGAGGACAUUCAGCCCCUUGAGACUGUUUUGUCAUUCAAUAUGAUUGUGGCCAAUCUGAUCUGUUGCUUCAAUCCCAUUUUCCUGCCUAUCCCUAUUAGCAUCCAUUCCACUUUUAAUCCAAAUAUACCUUUAAUACACUUAACAUCACAAGAAUUUUGACUUGAGAUUUUAUAGGGUGGAAGAUGUGGUGUAUUGGAGUUUCCAAAGGGUAUUCAAUAAGGGCCACAUAAAGGAUUCAUGAUAUUGCAUGUACAUGAUAUUAGCAUGUACAGUGGAUUGGCUAAUUGAAAACAGUCAGAAUACAUGAGCAAUUUUCAGAUUUGUAAACUAUAACCAGUGAGGUACUACAGCACUGUAACUACAACAGUAUUUAUUUAUUUAGAAACACAACACUUCUGGCCCCAUGAGCCUGUGAUAUCUAAUUAACCCAUGUGACCAAUGAACCUACUAACCGAUAGGUCUUUGGAAUGAGGGAGGAAACCCACGCAGUCAUGGGGAGAACCUACAAGCUCCUUACAGACAGCAGCGGGGAUGGAACUGAUUUGCUUACGCUGUCAUAGUGUUACACUAACCGCUAUAAUCCAUAUUAAUGACUUUGAAUGAAUAUUAUGUCCAAAAUUGCUGGAGAUACAGAUGUGUGUGGAAAAAGUUGUCAAGAGGCUGCAAAGAUGUGCAAAAGGAAUCGAUUAGUUGGAGUGAAUGAGGAGAAAUCUGCUAGAUGGAGUUUACUGUGGAAACAUUUGAGGAUGUCCCUGUGAGACGGAGAAGAGGUGAAAAGAACAGAGUCUAAAAGGAGUGAGACAAUAAAGUAGUCGGGAAGAGUGGAAUCAGGGUGAAACGUGAAACACCCGCAGUUACUAAGCAGAUUCUACUUGCUAACCUGCACACGGGGCACAAUUUACAGAGGAUGAUUAAUCCACCAACCUGCCAGGCUUUGGGAUGUGGGAAGAACUGGAGAACCUGAUGGAAACCUUUCCAGUCAAAUGGAGAACAUACAAACACUACACAGACAACAUCGGAGAGCAUGUGACAUGGGAUCUCAGAAAAUGAGAAAGCAGACAGGUCUACCUGGAAUUACUGAAGGGUCUCCUUGGCGACUGUCACAGGAAAAGUUAUUGUGUAGGUUCACCUCAAGUAGCUCUGCGAGACACCAGUCACAUUGCUGCUUCCAUCCAUCAAGACCAGCAAUGAACAUCCUGAGAUAAAUCCAGAUGUGCAGUCCUUCGGUGGAGAGAUGCUGCCACUCAUCCUCAAUGGCUCAGAGAUAUCACGUCCUGCUUAGACCUUGAAAAGAUUCAUUAUUCACUUCUUAAUUCAGACAUAAAGUUUCAAAAGGUGUGGGGACUUUUUCUUGAAUAUUUUCAUGAUUCCUGUGUAGAUUAAGGGUGCAUCCCUCCCUUUUUUCUUUUGCAUUUAAAUCCCUAACUUUCAGCUUCUUACGGUUAAGAUCUAUCGGCUUUUAAAAAUGUGUAAAUAUAUUAUAGAUUAGGUAGUAGGCAAUAUACCUUCUUUUUAUAAUACAGCUCUGUGGUGAUA